GAUGAACGCUGGCGGCGUGCUUAACACAUGCAAGUCGAACGAAGCACUUAAGACAGAUUCUUUCGGGAUGAAGAUUUUUGUGACUGAGUGGCGGACGGGUGAGUAACGCGUGGGUAACCUGCCUUAUACAGGGGGAUAGCAGUUGGAAACAACUGGUAAUACCGCAUAAGCGCACAGUACCGCAUGGUACAGUGUGAAAAACUCCGGUGGUAUAAGAUGGACCCGCGUCUGAUUAGCUAGUUGGUGAGGUAACGGCUCACCAAAGGCGACGAUCAGUAGCCGACCUGAGAGGGUGACCGGCCACAUUGGGACUGAGACACGGCCCAAAACUCCUACGGGAGGCAGCAGUGGGGAAUAUUGCACAAAUGGGGGAAACCCUGAUGCAGCGACGCCGCGUGAGUGAUGAAGUAUUUCGGUAUGUAAAAACUCUAUCAGCAGGGAAGAUAAUGACGGUACCUGACUAAGAAGCACCGGCUAAAAUACGUGCCAGCAGCCGCGG
Molecule: ribosomal RNA, 499 nt
Filed under: uncultured bacterium
Lineage: Bacteria
Description: bacterial SSU rRNA
Rfam family: Bacterial small subunit ribosomal RNA
Source: RNAcentral